UAUAUUUUGGUGUAGGAUGCACAAAAAUUUUUGAUAUUUUUAGUAAUAGUUUAAUUCUAUUAAAUAUAA
This 69-nucleotide transfer RNA is filed under the name Ceromasia rubrifrons. RNAcentral describes it as "tRNA-Gln". Lineage: Eukaryota; Metazoa; Arthropoda; Insecta; Diptera; Tachinidae. The record is from RNAcentral.